UUGAAAAUUGUUAAAGAACAUCAUAAAACAAACCAAGGAUUGACAAAAACACUUUUUCCAAUGAGUCCUUCAAAUGCACAAACAUAUUUAUUUCUAAACAAUAUUCUUUUAUAAUUUAGUAAUGAUUUGGAUGCUCUUAAUGAUUGUCGCUUUGUUUUAUUGAAACAAUUGUGGUAUACAUUGAAACAUAAUGACCAGAAGUAUUUAAAGUUUUGGCUGCAGUCGUAUUUAGCCAAUGUUCAAGAUGUUUAUAUUGGCUAUAAAAACGUAAAUGGUAUUAUAGAUGAACCCAUUGUACAUAAAAUGGCAGGACAACUGCCAAAGAAUCGCUUUUGGAAGCCAGUGAUUUGUACAGGAUUUUUAUAUGACUUUUUGCAGAAUGUCGAAAAGUGCAUGUCUUCUGUCAACUGCUUAUAUACUGUGUAUGUUUUUCACUACAAUAAAGAAGAAAACAGUUUCAGUUAUGAAAUGUUUAAUGGUGAAACCGAUAAGACUUUUAUAACAAACGAGUACAUGGAAUAUUGCAAUGAAAAGUCAAAUGUAUAAAUUAUUAUUCAUACAACUAGAUAGCUAAUUGAGAGCCCAAAACCUACAUAUGUCUGUUGUCAAAAACCUAAUCAAUUGAUGACUACUUAUAAACGUUGAUGGUAUCUCAUCCAUCACCAACAUAAUUUGCUUUGAUUUGUAAUAUCUAGUUACUUGGUAUCCCGGUUUAAUGAAUACUCAUAUACAUCUAUCUAUUUUAUGCAUUUUUAAUUUCUAGACCUAAAAAUGUAAAUAACUCUUUCAACAAGUUCAUAUAUUAUUAGAUUUUUGAAAACUUUAACUUCGAUUUUUUCAAUAUUUUAAUUUUAUAGCGACUUAUUGCAGUAAACCCUUCAUAAUAAUAUACGUAUAUAUGUAUCUAUUUUUAUUACUGUUUUUUAAAUAAAAAUAAAUUUAUUGAAAAAUAAUAAAA
Calliphora vicina (urban bluebottle blowfly) is the source of this 958-nucleotide long non-coding RNA. RefSeq lists it as uncharacterized. The record is from RefSeq and is a predicted model, not a curated record. The transcript is spliced from 2 exons. NCBI's taxonomy places the organism in Eukaryota, Metazoa, Arthropoda, Insecta, Diptera, Calliphoridae.